RNAcentral lists this ribosomal RNA (484 nucleotides) under uncultured bacterium. RNAcentral's name for it is "partial 16S ribosomal RNA". It matches the Rfam family "Bacterial small subunit ribosomal RNA", at positions 28 to 523 of the family's 1533-position model. The record is from RNAcentral.
GACGAACGCUGGCGGCGUGCUUAACACAUGCAAGUCGAACGAUGAAGCCGGAGCUUGCUCUGGUGAAUUAGUGGCGAACGGGUGAGUAACACGUGAGUAACCUGCCCCUGACUCUGGAAUAACUGCGGGAAACUGUAGCUAAUACCGGAUACGACCCUCGGCGGCAUCGCCAGGGGGUGGAAAGAAUUUCGGUCAAGGAUGGACUCGCGGCCUAUCAGCUAGUUGGUGAGGUAACGGCUCACCAAGGCGACGACGGGUAGCCGGCCUGAGAGGGUGACCGGCCACACUGGGACUGAGACACGGCCCAGACUCCUACGGGAGGCAGCAGUGGGGAAUAUUGCACAAUGGGCGCAAGCCUGAUGCAGCAACGCCGCGUGAGGGAUGACGGCCUUCGGGUUGUAAACCUCUUUUAGUAGGGAAGAAGCGAAAGUGACGGUACCUGCAGAAAAAGCACCGGCUAACUACGUGCCAGCCGCCGCAGUAA